RNAcentral lists this ribosomal RNA (511 nucleotides) under uncultured bacterium. Its description in RNAcentral is "partial 16S ribosomal RNA". It matches the Rfam family "Bacterial small subunit ribosomal RNA", at positions 28 to 507 of the family's 1533-position model. The record is from RNAcentral.
GACGAACGCUGGCGGCGUGCCUAAUACAUGCAAGUCGAGCGAGCGGAACUAACAGAUUUACUUCGGUAAUGACGUUAGGAAAGCGAGCGGCGGAUGGGUGAGUAACACGUGGGGAACCUGCCCCAUAGUCUGGGAUACCACUUGGAAACAGGUGCUAAUACCGGAUAAGAAAGCAGAUCGCAUGAUCAGCUUUUAAAAGGCGGCGUAAGCUGUCGCUAUGGGAUGGCCCCGCGGUGCAUUAGCUAGUUGGUAAGGUAAAGGCUUACCAAGGCGAUGAUGCAUAGCCGAGUUGAGAGACUGAUCGGCCACAUUGGGACUGAGACACGGCCCAAACUCCUACGGGAGGCAGCAGUAGGGAAUCUUCCACAAUGGACGCAAGUCUGAUGGAGCAACGCCGCGUGAGUGAAGAAGGUUUUCGGAUCGUAAAGCUCUGUUGUUGGGAAGAAGGAUAGAGGUAGUAACUGGCCUUUAUUUGACGGUAAUCAACCAGAAAGUCACGGCUAACUACGUG